Molecule: long non-coding RNA, 827 nt
Organism: Vombatus ursinus (common wombat)
Lineage: Eukaryota; Metazoa; Chordata; Mammalia; Diprotodontia; Vombatidae
Exons: 3
Source: RefSeq, a predicted model, not a curated record
UGAAAUAAUAUGGGCAAUUAUUACAUACUUUUUUAAAAAAAGUCUAAGUCUCAGAUUCUAAAAACAUGAAUCACAUUUCUGAUGUUUACUAGCUUGGUAACCUUCGCCAAUGAAUCAAGAAUGACAAGCUGUGCUAUGAACAGCAGAGGGAUCCAGGCCAAGGCCCUGGGGCCUAAGGCAUGGUGGAGGUGGAAGAAAUUAUUUCACCAUCAAGGGCUAAGCAAGCCAGGAAAGAUCUGCCUAAGAGGAUUUGAUUCUGGUCAACCAGCCAGAGAACAUAGAGCAUAUGAAAGGGCAAAAAAGAGCAACUUGGAGGGAGGGAGGUUGGGGAGGCGGGGAAUAAGAUGGCCCCAAGCCAGGAUGGGGGAAGUGCCCAGAUCUGAAACCUAUGGUAGAAGAGAGUUUGGGAGCUCAUUUAAGGAAGUUCCUUUUUCAGUAUGAACAAAGAUGGUUACUGGAUUGUGAACUCCCCAAGGUUUGGAAUUUCAUCUUAUCUAAACUGUAUAUAUCCCCAGUAUCUCAUACAGCAUUCUAUAUAUUAUAGGUGCUUAAUUUUUUAACUUGAAUUAAAUUAAAGUAGUUUCUCAGGCCAUGGCCAAUGAACAAGUCAGGGUCACUGUAGAAUGAUGGAGCUAGAAGGGUGAAGGAUGAAAGGAUCUAAGAUCUAGACUCCGACAUACCUAGGUGAGGGCUGGAGAAGUAACAACCAAGCCUGUUAAAAUCAGGGAAGAGAAACAGAACUUAGUUAAUAUCUAAACCAAAACAGAGUAGAAGGUUAAUGGAAGGCAGAUAAGAAUAGGUUGAAUAUUCUGUAUUUGGUGCAGAAG